Molecule: non-coding RNA, 21 nt
Organism: Caenorhabditis elegans
Lineage: Eukaryota; Metazoa; Nematoda; Chromadorea; Rhabditida; Rhabditidae
Source: Ensembl
UUCUUCAUUGGCUGUGCUUGC